CUCAACCAUAGGCCCGGUGAAAUUGCAGUACGAGUAAAGAUGCUCGUUUCGCGCAGCAGGACGGAAAGACCCCGGGACCUUUACUACAGUUUGAUAUUGGUGUUCGGUUCGGCUUGUGUAGGAUAGGUGGGAGACUGUGAAGCAUGCACGCCAGUGUGUGUGGAGUCGUCGUUGAAAUACCACUCUGGUCGUGCUGGAUGUCUAACCUGGGUCCGUGAUCCGGAUCAGGGACAGUGUCUGAUGGGUAGUUUAACUGGGGCGGUUGCCUCCUAAAGGGUAACGGAGGCGCCCAAAGGUUCCCUCAGCCUGGUUGGU
This 315-nucleotide non-coding RNA is filed under the name Streptomyces sp. NRRL F-6602. RNAcentral's name for it is "bacterial LSU rRNA". It matches the Rfam family "Bacterial large subunit ribosomal RNA", at positions 2020 to 2335 of the family's 2925-position model. Lineage: Bacteria; Bacillati; Actinomycetota; Actinomycetes; Kitasatosporales; Streptomycetaceae. The record is from RNAcentral.